AGUUUGAUUAUGGCUGGGAUUGAACGCUGGCGGGAUGCUUUUCACACAUGCAAGUCGAACGGCAGCACGGACUUCGGUCUGGUGGCGAGUAGCGAACGGGUGGAGUAAUGUAUCGGAACGUGCCUAGUAGCGGGGGAUAACUACGCGAAAGCGUAGCUAAUACCGCAUACGUUCUCAAAGGGAAAGGGGGACCUUCGGGCCUCGCACUAUUAGAGCGGCCGAUAUCGGAUUAGCUAGUUGGUGGGUAACAGCUCACCGUUAACACAUCCGUAGCUGGUUUGAGAGAGACGACCAGCCACACUGGGACUGAGACACGGCCCAGAUCACAGGAGGCACGCAGUGGGGAAUUUUAACAGGUUAAUGGGGGUCCCUGAUCCAGCCAUCUCAUGUGUGCGAUGAAGGCCUUCGGGUUGUAAAGCACUUUUUGGCAGGAAGAAACGGCACGGGAUAAUACCCCGUGCAACUGAUAUUGCCUGCAGACAAACUACACCAUGCCAGCAGCUGCGUAAUACGUAGGUGCAAGCGUUAAUCGGAAUUACUGGGCGUAAAGCGUGCGCAGGCGGUUCGAAAGAAAGAUGUGAAAUCCCAGUAUUUAACUUUGAACUGCAUUUUUAACUACUGAGCCACGGCCAGAGGGAGAGAACGUACCGUAGCAGUGAAAUGCGUAGAUAUGCGGAGGAACACCGAUGGCGAAGGCAGCCUCCUGGGAUAUCCAUCGUCUCCGGCCCGAAAGCGUGGGGAGCAAAACAGGAUUAGAUACCCUGGUAGUCCACGCCCUAAAACGAUGUCAACUAGCUGUUGGGGCCUUCGGGCCUUGGUAGCGCAGCCAAUGUGAACGCCUGACUGCCUGGGGUAUCGGUCGUAAGAUUAAAACUCGGGGAAUUGACGGGGACCCGCACAAGCGGUGGAUGAUGUGGAUUAAUUCGAUGCAACGCGAAAUGUUCUACCUACCCCUGACAUGUCUGAAUCCCGAAGAGAUUUGGGAGUGCCUGCAAGAGAACCGAACACAGGUGCUGCAUGGCUGUCGUCAGCUCGUGUCGUGAGAUGUUGGGUUAAGUCCCGCAACGAGCGCAACCCUUGUCAUUAGUUGCUACGAAAGGGCACUCUAUCGAGACUGCCGGUGACAAACCGGAGGAAGGUGGGGAUGAUCGUCCUCAUGGCCCUUGCGGGUAGGGCUUCGCCACUGUCAUACAAUGGUCGGGACAGGGUCGCCAACCCGCGAGGGGCGAGCUAAUCCUAGAAACCUGAUCGGUCCGGAUCGCAGUCUGCAACCUCGACUGCGUGAAGUCGGAAUCGCUAGUGCAAUCGCGGAUCAGCACGUCGCGUGAAUACGUUCCCGGGUCUUGUACACACCGCCCGUCACACCAUGUGGAGUGGGUUUUACCAGAAGUAGUUAGCCCAACUGUAAGGAGGGCGAUUACCACGUAGGAUUCAUGACUGGGGUGAAGUCGUAACAAGGUAG
This 1462-nucleotide ribosomal RNA is filed under the name uncultured Bordetella sp. RNAcentral describes it as "partial 16S-23S ribosomal RNA intergenic spacer". It matches the Rfam family "Bacterial small subunit ribosomal RNA". Lineage: Bacteria; Pseudomonadati; Pseudomonadota; Betaproteobacteria; Burkholderiales; Alcaligenaceae. The record is from RNAcentral.